GACAGAGGGGGCAAGCGUUGCUCGGAAUUACUGGGCGUAAAGGGCGCGUAGGCGGAAUGGCAAGUCGGUCGUGAAAUCCUUCGGCUCAACCGAAGAACGUCGAUCGAAACUGCCGUUCUUGAGGAUUGCAGAGGAGACUGGAAUUCCCGGUGUAGCGGUAAAAUGUGUAGAGAUCGGGAGGAACACCGGUGGCGAAGGCGGGUCUCUGGGCAAUUCCUGACGCUGAGGCGCGAAAGCGUGGGGAGCAAACGGG
This 253-nucleotide ribosomal RNA is filed under the name uncultured bacterium. RNAcentral describes it as "partial 16S ribosomal RNA". It matches the Rfam family "Bacterial small subunit ribosomal RNA", at positions 524 to 776 of the family's 1533-position model. The record is from RNAcentral.